This 217-nucleotide long non-coding RNA is filed under the name Elaeis guineensis (African oil palm). RNAcentral's name for it is "long non-coding RNA (EGUI_LNC029532)". Lineage: Eukaryota; Viridiplantae; Streptophyta; Magnoliopsida; Arecales; Arecaceae. The record is from RNAcentral.
ACAUCUAUAUUAUUCUUUCUGGAUAGUAUCCUCUUGUGCUCACUGCAACAAGUCAUGAUUUUUACAUCGAUAUGAAAAAAUUAGUUAGAACACUAAAAAGUAUAUUAAGAUGAUACUUACUCAAUAAAAUUUUUAAUUUUUUCAUAAUUAUUUAAAACAUAGAAGUAUGCCUUGGAUAGCCCAUUCACGUUCAUAAACUUAUAUUUUCUUCCACCCA